RNAcentral lists this ribosomal RNA (305 nucleotides) under uncultured bacterium. RNAcentral describes it as "bacterial SSU rRNA". It matches the Rfam family "Bacterial small subunit ribosomal RNA", at positions 334 to 655 of the family's 1533-position model. The record is from RNAcentral.
GUUGCCUACGGGACGCAGCAGUCGGGAAUAUUGCGCAAUGGAGGAAACUCUGACGCAGUGACGCCGCGUAUAGGAAGAAGGUCUUCGGAUUGUAAACUAUUGUCGUUAGGGAAGAGAAAGGACAGUACCUAAGGAGGAAGCUCCGGCUAACUACGUGCCAGCAGCCGCGGUAAUACGUAGGGAGCGAGCGUUAUCCGGAUUUAUUGGGUGUAAAGGGUGCGUAGACGGGAAAAUAAGUUAGUUGUGAAAUCCCUCGGCUCAACUGAGGAACUGCAACUAAAACUAUUUUUCUUGAGUGCAGGAGA